UACGGAGGGUGCGAGCGUUAUCCGGAUUUACUGGGUUUAAAGGGUGCGUAGGUGGGCUAGUAAGUCCGUGGUGAAAUCUUUGGGCUUAACCCGAAAACUGCCAUUGAUACUAUCUGUCUUGAAUUAUCUGGAGGUAAGCGGAAUAUGUCAUGUAGCGGUGAAAUGCUUAGAUAUGACAUAGAACACCCAUUGCGAAGGCAGCUUACUACGGAUAUAUUGACACUGAGGCUCGAAAGCGUGGGGAUCAAACAGG
Molecule: ribosomal RNA, 253 nt
Filed under: uncultured bacterium
Lineage: Bacteria
Description: partial 16S ribosomal RNA
Rfam family: Bacterial small subunit ribosomal RNA
Source: RNAcentral